Leopardus geoffroyi (Geoffroy's cat) is the source of this 332-nucleotide long non-coding RNA. RefSeq lists it as uncharacterized. The record is from RefSeq and is a predicted model, not a curated record. NCBI's taxonomy places the organism in Eukaryota, Metazoa, Chordata, Mammalia, Carnivora, Felidae. The transcript has 3 exons.
GGAACCCUAACAGAAAUUCGGAAGCACGGGAGCUGCAUUCAAUUAGGACGUGGAUACAUGAAAUGCUCGUCUCACGACCUUCUAGAAGAAUGAGCUGGGACCCAUGUUCCGAGUCCUGCUGGAACCAGAGGCCAAGAUUCAGGCUUGUUUCCGGUAAGAAACACGGACAGAAAUUCAGAAGAACGGGAGCUGCAUUCCAUUAGGACUUGAAUACACGAAAUGUUCGUCUCAGGACCUUCUAGAAGAAUGAGCUGGGACCCACUUUCCGAGUCCUGCUGGAACCAGUGACCGAGUACUAUGUGGAAUAACAGUGGUGAGAGGGAUCAUCCCUG